Molecule: ribosomal RNA, 532 nt
Filed under: Parazoanthidae sp. QM G337583
Lineage: Eukaryota; Metazoa; Cnidaria; Anthozoa; Zoantharia; Parazoanthidae
Description: partial large subunit ribosomal RNA
Source: RNAcentral
AGUCGGGUUGUUUGGGAAUGCAGCCCAAAAUGGGUGGUAAACUCCAUCUAAAGCUAAAUAUAGGCACGAGACCGAUAGCGAACAAGUACCGUGAGGGAAAGAUGAAAAGAACUUUGAAAAGAGAGUUAAAAAGUACGUGAAACCGUUGAAAGGGAAACGAAUGGAGUUAGCAAUGCACUCUGCAAGAUUCAGCCGGCGGGUGACUCGGAUGGGCGGUUGGCGGAUCUGAAUGGACCGCCGUCGUCCAGCUCGUGUUCCCUGCCGUCGCACUUCUUACGGGUGCGCGUCAACGUCGGUUCGGAUCCGGUCUUAAAGGUCCGCGGGAAGGUAGGUCGGACGCUUCGGUGCCCUUCUGUUACAGCCCACGUUUCUUAUGGCCGAGUCCGGACCGAGGCGUCGCAGCGCAUGCCUCUUUUGGCUAGGGUCCUUUGGCGCUUCCGGUUGUCGAUUGYGGUGGACUGCGUGCAGUGCACCCGAACCGCUGCCGGUCGUCGCGGAGGUGACUUCGUACAAUGCGCUCAGGACGUUGGCG